Molecule: long non-coding RNA, 696 nt
Organism: Oreochromis niloticus (Nile tilapia)
Lineage: Eukaryota; Metazoa; Chordata; Actinopteri; Cichliformes; Cichlidae
Source: Ensembl
UUAGGGCUGAGGUUCACAGCAGAUUUACACCCGGAUUUGUCCAAAAUUUUCUAGAUUCAUUUUAAAACAUUAAAACCACAGCGUGGGUGGAUGAAAAGCAUGGAGCAGUUUCUUAUUCUUGCACUAUUGGCAGCAGGAACUCAUGCUCUGGUUCCAGUUGAUGAGACUACAUGUGACCUCAGGAUGAGCACAUGUCCAUGUUCUCCUUUUCUUGAAGGAACUGUGUAUAUCCAAGUGAUGACUGAUGCUAGUGGCCAUGAACUGCAGUGUUUGAAGGUGCUUCCCAAGGUGAACAUAACUGUGUUCAAUCUGAAGAAAGAAAAAAUAACAAUAGACAAUGAAUUUAACAACAGAAUGAAGUUUAAAAUCAAGAACGGGACACUCAAGAUCACAAAUGUAAGGAGGAAUGAUUCAGGUCAAUACAGCAUUGAGGUCUAUAAUUCAGAUGGAGUCGCACAGAAAAACAUUUAUUUCACCCUGAAUGUUAAAGACAACGGCAAAGUUGAAGGCAAGGGACUCUGGAAUUUCGAAGCAGACAAGUGUCUUUACCUGGUCAUAGCCUGUGGUGUACUGGCACUUCUCCUGAUAGCAGUGUCAUGCUGCUUUGCGUGUAGGGAAAUGAAGCAUCGUAAGAAGCCAGGUAACAUGCUGUCUCAUGAUCAACAAAGCUCAAUAAGCAACUGCAUCAUUCACUGA